This 253-nucleotide ribosomal RNA is filed under the name uncultured bacterium. RNAcentral describes it as "partial 16S ribosomal RNA". It matches the Rfam family "Bacterial small subunit ribosomal RNA", at positions 524 to 776 of the family's 1533-position model. The record is from RNAcentral.
UACGUAGGGACCAAGCGUUGUCCGGAAUCAUUGGGCGUAAAGCGCGCGUAGGUGGCUUCGUAAGUCCGUUGUGAAAGUCAAAGGCUCAACCUUUGAAAGCCGAUGGAUACUGCGAAGCUAGAGUACGGAAGAGGCGAGUGGAAUUCCUGGUGUAGCGGUGGAAUGCGCAGAUAUCAGGAGGAACACCGAUGGCGAAGGCAGGUCUCUGGGCUGACACUGACGCUCAUGCACGAAAGCGUGGGGAGCAAACAGG